GACGUAGGGCGCGAGCGUUGUCCGGAUUUAUUGGGCGUAAAGAGCUCGUAGGCGGCUUGUCGCGUCGGCUGUGAAAACCCGUGGCUCAACUGCGGGCUUGCAGCCGAUACGGGCAGGCUAGAGUUCGGUAGGGGAGACUGGAAUUCCUGGUGUAGCGGUGAAAUGCGCAGAUAUCAGGAAGAACACCUAUGGCGAAGGCAGCUCUCUGGGACGGUACUGACGCUGAGACGCGAAAGCGUGGGGAGCGAACAGG
This 253-nucleotide ribosomal RNA is filed under the name uncultured bacterium. RNAcentral describes it as "partial 16S ribosomal RNA". It matches the Rfam family "Bacterial small subunit ribosomal RNA", at positions 524 to 776 of the family's 1533-position model. The record is from RNAcentral.